This 492-nucleotide long non-coding RNA is filed under the name Saimiri boliviensis boliviensis (Bolivian squirrel monkey). RNAcentral's name for it is "lncRNA (ENSSBOG00000036476.1)". Lineage: Eukaryota; Metazoa; Chordata; Mammalia; Primates; Cebidae. The record is from RNAcentral.
GCUGGACUUUCCAAGUCUCGGGCCGAUUUCCCCGUGUCGGGAGCCAAAGGAGCAAGGCAGCGCCAAUCGAUGAGCGAGCGCGCCAACGCCGGCCGCUGGAGGCACGGGGGCUGGAGCGCGGGGCCCAGUGGAGGAGCUCGGUCGCAGUUCGAGGCCUGGGCGCUGGCCCAGCGAGUGGGCCUGUUAGGUUACAGCAUUAUCCAUUUUGAAGUUAAGGAUUUCUAAAUUCGGCAUGGACCCUGGACACAACAUUGAAGCUCCCAAUAUAUUGAAGCUUUCUCACCCUUUCCCUCCAUCAGAAAUGAUUCCUGGCAAAGGACAUAAAACAAACAAACAAAAACUUCAUGAACAAAUCCACCUUGAAGCUACAUAUGGCUACUCUUCUAGAGUAUUUAUAAUUUAACAGGUCAUUAAUGGAAGUGUCAGGGUGUAAUUUCAGUGGGUUGGGGAGAGAUUCAUGCUCAGGGAUGUUUCCCCAAUUCCCCUUUAAAG